Molecule: ribosomal RNA, 548 nt
Filed under: uncultured Oceaniserpentilla sp.
Lineage: Bacteria; Pseudomonadati; Pseudomonadota; Gammaproteobacteria; Oceanospirillales; Oceanospirillaceae
Description: bacterial SSU rRNA
Rfam family: Bacterial small subunit ribosomal RNA
Source: RNAcentral
GCACGGGGGGCCUACGGGAGGCAGCAGUGGGGAAUAUUGCACAAUGGGCGCAAGCCUGAUGCAGCCAUGCCGCGUGUGUGAAGAAGGCUCUAGGGUUGUAAAGCACUUUCAGUCGGGAGGAAAGGUUAGUAGUUAAUACCUGCUAGCUGUGACGUUACCGACAGAAGAAGCACCGGCUAACUCCGUGCCAGCAGCCGCGGUAAUACGGAGGGUGCAAGCGUUAAUCGGAAUUACUGGGCGUAAAGCGUACGUAGGUGGUUUGUUAAGUUGGAUGUGAAAGCCCAGGGCUCAACCUUGGAACUGCAUUCAAAACUGACGAACUAGAGUAUGGUAGAGGUAAGUGGAAUUUCCUGUGUAGCGGUGAAAUGCGUAGAGAUGGGAAGGAACAUCAGUGGCGAAGGCGACUUACUGGACCAAUACUGACACUGAGGUACGAAAGCGUGGGUAGCAAACAGGAUUAGAUACCCUGGUAGUCCACGCCGUAAACGAUGUAUACUAGCCGUUGGGAUCCUUGAGAUCUUAGUGGCGCAGCUAACGCACUAAGUAGA